RNAcentral lists this ribosomal RNA (2930 nucleotides) under Bacillus paranthracis. RNAcentral's name for it is "23S ribosomal RNA". It matches the Rfam family "Bacterial large subunit ribosomal RNA". Lineage: Bacteria; Bacillati; Bacillota; Bacilli; Caryophanales; Bacillaceae. The record is from RNAcentral.
UUUGGUUAAGUUAGAAAGGGCGCACGGUGGAUGCCUUGACACUAGGAGUCGAUGAAGGACGGGACUAACGCCGAUAUGCUUCGGGGAGCUGUAAGUAAGCUUUGAUCCGAAGAUUUCCGAAUGGGGAAACCCACCAUACGUAAUGGUAUGGUAUCCUUAUCUGAAUACAUAGGGUAAGGAAGACAGACCCAGGGAACUGAAACAUCUAAGUACCUGGAGGAAGAGAAAGCAAAUGCGAUUUCCUGAGUAGCGGCGAGCGAAACGGAACAUAGCCCAAACCAAGAGGCUUGCCUCUUGGGGUUGUAGGACAUUCUAUACGGAGUUACAAAGGAACGAGGUAGACGAAGCGACCUGGAAAGGUCCGUCGUAGAGGGUAACAACCCCGUAGUCGAAACUUCGUUCUCUCUUGAAUGUAUCCUGAGUACGGCGGAACACGUGAAAUUCCGUCGGAAUCUGGGAGGACCAUCUCCCAAGGCUAAAUACUCCCUAGUGAUCGAUAGUGAACCAGUACCGUGAGGGAAAGGUGAAAAGCACCCCGGAAGGGGAGUGAAAGAGAUCCUGAAACCGUGUGCCUACAAAUAGUCAGAGCCCGUUAACGGGUGAUGGCGUGCCUUUUGUAGAAUGAACCGGCGAGUUACGAUCCCGUGCGAGGUUAAGCUGAAGAGGCGGAGCCGCAGCGAAAGCGAGUCUGAAUAGGGCGUUUAGUACGUGGUCGUAGACCCGAAACCAGGUGAUCUACCCAUGUCCAGGGUGAAGUUCAGGUAACACUGAAUGGAGGCCCGAACCCACGCACGUUGAAAAGUGCGGGGAUGAGGUGUGGGUAGCGGAGAAAUUCCAAUCGAACCUGGAGAUAGCUGGUUCUCCCCGAAAUAGCUUUAGGGCUAGCCUUAAGUGUAAGAGUCUUGGAGGUAGAGCACUGAUUGGACUAGGGGUCCUCAUGGGAUUACCGAAUUCAGUCAAACUCCGAAUGCCAAUGACUUAUCCUUAGGAGUCAGACUGCGAGUGAUAAGAUCCGUAGUCAAAAGGGAAACAGCCCAGACCGCCAGCUAAGGUCCCAAAGUGUGUAUUAAGUGGAAAAGGAUGUGGAGUUGCUUAGACAACUAGGAUGUUGGCUUAGAAGCAGCCACCAUUUAAAGAGUGCGUAAUAGCUCACUAGUCGAGUGACUCUGCGCCGAAAAUGUACCGGGGCUAAAUACACCACCGAAGCUGCGGAUUGAUACCGAAUGGUAUCAGUGGUAGGGGAGCGUUCUAAGGACAGUGAAGUCAGACCGGAAGGACUGGUGGAGUGCUUAGAAGUGAGAAUGCCGGUAUGAGUAGCGAAAGACGGGUGAGAAUCCCGUCCACCGAAUGCCUAAGGUUUCCUGAGGAAGGCUCGUCCGCUCAGGGUUAGUCAGGACCUAAGCCGAGGCCGACAGGCGUAGGCGAUGGACAACAGGUUGAUAUUCCUGUACCACCUCUUUAUCGUUUGAGCAAUGGAGGGACGCAGAAGGAUAGAAGAAGCGUGCGAUUGGUUGUGCACGUCCAAGCAGUUAGGCUGAUAAGUAGGCAAAUCCGCUUAUCAUAAAGGCUGAGCUGUGAUGGGGAAGCUCCUUAUGGAGCGAAGUCUUUGAUUCCCCGCUGCCAAGAAAAGCUUCUAGCGAGAUAAAAGGUGCCUGUACCGCAAACCGACACAGGUAGGCGAGGAGAGAAUCCUAAGGUGUGCGAGAGAACUCUGGUUAAGGAACUCGGCAAAAUGACCCCGUAACUUCGGGAGAAGGGGUGCUUUCUUAACGGAAAGCCGCAGUGAAUAGGCCCAAGCGACUGUUUAGCAAAAACACAGCUCUCUGCGAAGCCGUAAGGCGAAGUAUAGGGGGUGACACCUGCCCGGUGCUGGAAGGUUAAGGAGAGGGGUUAGCGUAAGCGAAGCUCUGAACUGAAGCCCCAGUAAACGGCGGCCGUAACUAUAACGGUCCUAAGGUAGCGAAAUUCCUUGUCGGGUAAGUUCCGACCCGCACGAAAGGUGUAACGAUUUGGGCACUGUCUCAACCAGAGACUCGGUGAAAUUAUAGUACCUGUGAAGAUGCAGGUUACCCGCGACAGGACGGAAAGACCCCGUGGAGCUUUACUGUAGCCUGAUAUUGAAUUUUGGUACAGUUUGUACAGGAUAGGCGGGAGCCUUUGAAACCGGAGCGCUAGCUUCGGUGGAGGCGCUGGUGGGAUACCGCCCUGACUGUAUUGAAAUUCUAACCUACGGGUCUUAUCGACCCGGGAGACAGUGUCAGGUGGGCAGUUUGACUGGGGCGGUCGCCUCCUAAAGUGUAACGGAGGCGCCCAAAGGUUCCCUCAGAAUGGUUGGAAAUCAUUCGUAGAGUGCAAAGGCAUAAGGGAGCUUGACUGCGAGACCUACAAGUCGAGCAGGGACGAAAGUCGGGCUUAGUGAUCCGGUGGUUCCGCAUGGAAGGGCCAUCGCUCAACGGAUAAAAGCUACCCCGGGGAUAACAGGCUUAUCUCCCCCAAGAGUCCACAUCGACGGGGAGGUUUGGCACCUCGAUGUCGGCUCAUCGCAUCCUGGGGCUGUAGUCGGUCCCAAGGGUUGGGCUGUUCGCCCAUUAAAGCGGUACGCGAGCUGGGUUCAGAACGUCGUGAGACAGUUCGGUCCCUAUCCGUCGUGGGCGUAGGAAAUUUGAGAGGAGCUGUCCUUAGUACGAGAGGACCGGGAUGGACGCACCGCUGGUGUACCAGUUGUUCUGCCAAGGGCAUAGCUGGGUAGCUAUGUGCGGAAGGGAUAAGUGCUGAAAGCAUCUAAGCAUGAAGCCCCCCUCAAGAUGAGAUUUCCCAUAGCGUAAGCUAGUAAGAUCCCUGAAAGAUGAUCAGGUUGAUAGGUUCGAGGUGGAAGCAUGGUGACAUGUGGAGCUGACGAAUACUAAUAGAUCGAGGACUUAACCAUAUAA